UACUGGGCGUCAGCCAGAUUCUUAAUGAUUUUAAGUCAAGCAGGUUUUCAAGCUUAAAACAUGAUAAGUAUUCUUUACCUACUUUAGCUAUGUCCAGUAACAUCAUAUGGAAAUUCAGCCUCACAAUAAAUAUGAUUUAGUUAUCAAAUUUAGGGUAUGCAUGCUCAUGUAGAGUAGAUGAGCAUAUUGAUUGAAUAUUUGGUGCCUGAGUAAGACUACCAGGCAGUUACUUAAUUAUGCUCUUGAAUGAAUUAACACUUCUCAAACGUGAGGAAAGCACGCCUAGCUCUGUCACUUCUUUUAGUGAAUUGGUGGGGACAUCCAAAAGUUUGCAGUACAUUUCUGAAAAAGUCCAAGUGUGAUUCAUAUUAAAGAAUCAUGGAUUUUUUUAAGCUUUAGAGCCCUACUAUGUAAUGUUGAUAAUUGUUUUUAUAGAUUAAAGUAAGAAGAUGCCAAUAAGUAGUAAGAAACUAAAAUUCAUAACCUAAAAAGUUAUCACCAAGAACAUUACAUAUACCAGUUUUUACAACAUUCACAUAUAUAUAUAUACAUAUGCAAAAGAUUAGUCUCCAGAUCAUACUACAGAUAAAAAUUUAUAAGUAUGCUAUUAAGAUAUUUUCUCAGAGUAUUGUUUAUAAGGCAACAUAAUUUUUAACUUUCUUUUUUAGUAUACUUAGGUGACAUCAACUCAAGAUAAAGAAUGCCAGUAAAAGGAAUAUUGAUAUUGCUCAGGGCAGAAAGACAGGGUUAUGAAGAAUGAUAUAUAUUUCAGAAUAUCAUUUUACCAAUAAAUUAUUUCUGGUAUGAUAAAAAAUGUGGGGAUAAAAAUUAUGGAAAAAAAUAGGGUCUUAAAAGUACUUCAGAGAAAAUUAGUUUAAGUUCACUGUUGACUUUUUAUGGAGUGCCAGAAUGUAUAAUUCAUAUAAUUGUAUGAAUAAAUUCAAGAAAUACUAAACAUAUAAGCCUGUAAUUAUAGUCCCUGAUAUGGUUUAAAUGCACUUCUCAAAAUGCAUGUAUAGGAAACUAGUUCCUCAGUACAAAGAAGUGAGAAAUGGUACCUUUAAGAUGAUGAGGUCAUGAAGGCAGAGCCAUCAUGUGAGUAUGCUAACGUUAUCAUGGGAGUGACUUUUCUAUAAUGAACUUCAUCCUUUUCCUGGUCUCUCUUGCCACAGGAAACUCUGACAUGCUAUUGAAUACUCUGAAGAACAUUACCAGUUAUGCUUUUGAAGAUUUCUGGGAUAUCACCUCCAACAGUGGUCACUGCUAACAGAAGCAUAUGGGGAUAAUGCUUUGAGAGAGAGAGAAGAGCCUUUACUCUUUAUUACAGAGAAUUAUGAUUUGUCUCAAUAUUUUCUUUAACAAUGUGUGUUUAAUUAAUAGCACAUGAUAAAUGCAGUACAUUUUGUCAUCUACACAGAAUUGUUUUGAAAGAAUAAAAAGGAGUCCAUUUAAA
Long non-coding RNA from Rattus norvegicus (Norway rat), 1453 nucleotides. RefSeq lists it as uncharacterized. The record is from RefSeq and is a predicted model, not a curated record. Lineage: Eukaryota; Metazoa; Chordata; Mammalia; Rodentia; Muridae.